This 4421-nucleotide long non-coding RNA is filed under the name Triticum aestivum (bread wheat). Its description in RNAcentral is "long non-coding RNA (TAES_LNC016733)". The record is from RNAcentral. Lineage: Eukaryota; Viridiplantae; Streptophyta; Magnoliopsida; Poales; Poaceae.
CCAGUUGGAUCUCUCUUUCUCCCCCCCCUCCCCUCUCCCCUCCCCUCCCGUCGUCGCCACGCCUCACGCCACACGCCACAAACCCUAGGGCCGUCGAUCCCGCGCUCCUUGCCUACCGCGUCCCCUCCCCUCCUUGCCCGACCGCCUCCCCCACCCUCGCCCCACAUGGCGGACGUCAAGAUCGGGCGCCGCAGGCACCGGAAGAUGGUCACGGCGGCGAACCCGCCUGAGGUGCUCAACCUCCCGCCGGGCUUCGACGAUCUUACGGCGGAGGAGUACCGUAUCCUCACCGACAUGGAGAUCGACAACUCUACUGAGAAGCCAAGUGAGAGGGCAGUCCCCGCGAGAGCUCCUGGUCACCUGCUCCUCUGCUCCCCUCAUCUCCCUUCGUCACAGCACAUGCAUCUCCUCGUGACAGAUUCGGGGUUGGUAGUUGAGAUUGAUAUGCUGCAUGGUGAUAUUACUGGGAUUGUUGUCUUAUUUUGAUGCUGGCUCUUGCUUGCCCUGGCUGCUUUAUGAAUGUGUUUCAGUGUACAGGGAGGCAGAGGGCCGUACCCCACAAUGCACCUGAGAAAAUGAGCACAUCUCUAUGUACCCCAUAGGCCCAUAUCUCAGGCCUAUCUGAAAUCCAGAGAUGAAAUCCGUAGAUUUCAAAUGAACCAUGACAUGCAAUACAUCAACAACAGCAUUUCAUUCGUGCAUACCACAGGCCUUGUGUUUUGAUGUAUUUGGUGGUGUAUGUUAACUGGGUAUUCACUCUGUCUACCUUUGCAGGAGAAGACAAUUUUCAUCUACCCAAAGUCCCUCCAUACAAGGAAUGAGAAAGCCAACAUUCGCAACUGGCAGCUCAAUAAUGCCCUCAAUGCACUUGGUGACACGAGAUCGGAGAUCCUUUUCCUCCUGGACGUUCAGCACAAGACCAAACAGACCAUGAAGGACUUGAAGAGAGCCAGGGCUCGACACGGUGAUCUUUUGGAGAAGGCCCCAAUUACCAUACUAGACUGGAUACAGAAUCUACCUGUGCUCAUGGAUUAGGUAAGUCUUCAGCUAAUUUCUUAUCAAAAUGUUUCGUUUGGUAUUUUUUAUCUGAUAGUCGUUGUAUCUUCUGAUGCAUAAUGUGUGCCCAAUGCUACAUUAGCUACAUGUUGUAAAUGUUAUCUUCAGGUGAACUCCGCACAAAGCUCUUGUACAUAUAUGCCUGUCUAGCUUAGUUUCUAUGCUGCAAGUAAACCCAUAGUUUUGUUUAAUUUCGUCACAUGUUCUGUUUUGAAGAAGAUAUUUUCUGAUUUGGUAGAUUUUGUAUGUUAUUUUGCGAUGUAGAACUUUAUUUGAGAGCAGCGCACUGCAUAUAUAUGUUCUGCUAGAAAUAGGAUAAACGAUUUCAACAGCAAACUAGGAAACUCUUCUAGCAUCUACAUUCAGAAAAGUACGGGAGAAGUACACUGAAAACAGGUUUGCCACUAACACAUAACAGAAACAUACGAUAAAUAUCAUCAGUGUGCUCAAUAAACCAUCGAUUGCAAACACGGCCAGAUGUGUGCUAUAUGAACCCAUCAUAUUCCUAAACUAUGCACCAGCAGUUAGUAGAUACUUCACUUAUGCCUCCUGAAUGCCUAUCAUGAUGUAAAUUUCCUUGGUUUACGGUGUUCAAACCGAAUGUUCCGCUUCUAGCUCCAAUGGAGCCAAAGUUAACUGACGCUAGUAUGCCAUUUGAUGCGUUAAGUCUUGUUACCUGUGACUUGUAGUGUCGUUAGUUGAAAGUAAAUUCCUCGGUUUAGGAAUGGCACUGCCAAGUUGUUUCUGCUCUAUGAUGCCUAAUGUUCCGAAUUUUGUUUCAUGCUGCAAUAAUGAUGUCCUGCUAUGCUGUUCAUUGUUACCAUUUGGUGCUCAGAGCUGCUGUCCGCCUAAUUAUUACAGCCUAAGUUUAUUAGCUCCCAUAAAGAGCCAUGACUGAGUGCUUUGGGUGAUGUCUUGCUCUAAUGCAACACAAGACCUGUUGUGCAACAUGUAGUCGAUGACCUCCAGGUCUUGUGCGCUUGCCCUCACCGGUCUCUUGCUUCAAAGAGAACCCAAGAUUGGCUCAUUAUCUUCAGAUUUCAAAUAUCCGGAUGGUGUAUGCAUGCCCUCCUAACAUUUCUUUCUUUUUAAAAACAUAUGUAAGAAUAGGCUGUUGUAAAAAAAGAGGUAAAAAUAGCCACAUAUCUAGCAUCAAACUGGCAGAAAUCCAGCAUCCUUUCUGGUAGCAUUCUUAACUGGACUAUUUCAGAAGAUAACGCACCAGCACUGGAAUAGUUUAUGGAGAGUAUGCCAGUGGCAAUAACGUGUAUCAUGCAGUAGAAGGCAACAAAAAUAGAUUACAAUAAGUUUGCGAGUAUCCUUCCUCCAAAACACAAACAACCAAGAUGCCAAUGGCAAUAACGUAAGUCCUGUGAACCACCCAUUCUUUCUCUUGACUAGGCAAUCGUGCAUAAUUUGAAUUCAUCCAAGAUGCUGCCAGAUAAGGCGUUGAAAGUUGCUGCUGAACAUUGCAACACCUUAGCACCGUGUUGCUUCCAAGGGUUCCAGCGAAAUGAGCCAAGACAGCGGAAUCGAGCAGAUAGCCACCAGCGUUGCAGAUCAUCUUGCGGAGAUGGAAUUACCACUGAAUUGCAUGCUUGAUAAGCAUCUGAACCAGAUUUGCCGGAAAAAAACACAUUUCCGCAAAAUGUGAUCCAUGUUAUCUUCAUCCUGGAAGUGGAUGCAGCAUGGCACUAGUCUACCAAUGGUCUAAAGCCUGUAGGAAUAUCUGAAAAAGCACAAUGAGGGUAACAUCAGUACAAAAUUACAAAAGGAACUCAGAGCACAUGAAUAUUGAGUGAAAGCGCUAACAAUUUGAGUGGCUGAUAUCUAAGAAUGCUCAAUACAGUGCAGAUCAUGAGAAUCCGACAAAUAUGAUGAUUCAUCCCUACAAAAUAGUGAUUGUAUCAUUGCAGAUUGUCUAUAUAAUGGGUCAAGCGAGUAAUAACAAACCAAUAAACGCACAAGCGCACGCACACAUGAUGUGAUAUAACUAAGCAUCUCCACUUAGCAUUAUUAUAAAAAAAAAGUGUGUCCGAACCUAAUUGAGUUGACUGCUUCUAGGGUUCUCUCAUGACCUUCAUCUGCUUCGUUGUUUUCAUUUUCUGAAAUAAAAAACAACAUAUUGCAGAAACCAUCACACAGUACAGAGUUGAAAAUAAGUUCACAGGCAAAAUUAAUUACAGAUUCGGAAAAUGCUGAUAGUUUAAGAACAGCCAACCAUCAAGGCUGCCGUUUUUUUUCUGACUCAUAAUGACAAUUAUUGCUGGGUGUCGAACCCAGCGCCUCGCUUCAGUUUUCCAGUAUGAGUGGCAAGACUUCGGGCAAACUGAGUAGCUACUCCACAUAUCUGAGCUCAUGUACAUCGUAAAGUGAUGAUCUGUUGCCUGACUAAUGGCCGAGAUAGAAUUUUGGUUGUCGCCAACAGCAAAACAGAACAUGCAUUGUAAGAUAUCAAGAAGGAAAAUGUUAGGGAUUAGGGUUCUACCACAAAGUCCUAACAUAUACCCAUUUCCGGUCUUCACAGUUAUUUUAAUCUCAGCAACCAGCUUCUUCUCCUGGAAUGGUACCACUGUGGUAUUAGGAAACCAAAUAGGACAGUACACGCAAAUUGCAGAUUGGUAAGUGGAAGAACCAAUAAAAAAUAAACAUGCAAUGAAACUGCUGGCUGUAUCACACCUUCCUGGAAAAGAAUGAUGUGUGUUACAUUCCUAGAGCAUGACGGUAUCGCACCAUAGGAAAGCCUCUAAAAAUUUGAGGCACCUCCCAGCCUCAUCAUUAGGAGUGUGUAUAAGCAUUGCCGUCUAAGGUCCAAAAUGAAGUAUAGCAACUUUAAUAUGACACUGAUCAGAUGCACAAUUGUUGCUUUAAUUGCUGAACAAAGAAUACUGGGCAACGAGUAUGACAACAAAUUAACCUCAUCUCAUCUCAGGAACAAAUCUACUGUCUGGUCCAUCGGCAAGUGUGACCAGAAGCAUGAUAGAACAAUGUCAGCUCUUUACAAUGGAAGAGCAUGUUUUCAUUCUUCGUACACCAGCAGUGGCAACGCUACCUAAUCUCUACACAGUCAAGCUUUGCCUCUAGUAUGUGGUGGGAGCUUAACAUUCACAUUAUAUUCUUACCAGUACGGCAAGACCAUAUGGUGAUUAAAACAGCACUUAUAUUUGCAGAGAAGCCUGUACAGCAAAUCAGCAAGUUGGGGUUCAUGGCACUAGGUAUUUUAGUUCCACUGGAUCAUUAACAAUCUAUUCAACAGCAGUGACUCUGGUGAGUUUUAGCAGCAUGCAAUUGAAAGGAAAGGGAAGGAAUAUACGCACUUCGUCGCAUGUUUCCUGCAUAGUAUCAGUAUCAGCCACUCUACCAUG